GAUGAACGCUAGCGGCAGGCCUAACACAUGCAAGUCGAGGGGUAGAAAUAGCUUGCUAUUUUGAGACCGGCGCACGGGUGCGUAACGCGUAUGCAAUCUACCUUUUACUAAGGGAUAGCCCGGAGAAAUCCGGAUUAAUACCUUAUGGUUUUUAGAAUUGGCAUCAAUUUUAGAAUAAAGAUUUAUUGGUAAAAGAUGAGCAUGCGUCCCAUUAGUUAGUUGGUGUGGUAACGGCAUACCAAGACGAUGAUGGGUAGGGGUCCUGAGAGGGAGAUCCCCCACACUGGUACUGAGACACGGACCAGACUCCUACGGGAGGCAGCAGUGAGGAAUAUUGGUCAAUGGACGCAAGUCUGAACCAGCCAUGCCGCGUGCAGGACGAAGCAUCUAUGGUGUGUAAACUGCUUUUGUACGGGAAGAAACACCUCUACGAGUAGAGGCUUGACGGUACCGUAAGAAUAAGGAUCGGCUAACUCCGUGCCAGCAGCCGCGGUAAUACGGAGGAUUCGAGCGUUAUCCGGAAUCAUUGGGUUUAAAGGGUCCGUAGGCGGCUUUAUAAGUCAGCGGUGAAAGUUUUUGGCUCAACCAAAAAAUUGCCGUUGAUACUGUAGAGCUUGAAUGAUUUUGAAGUAACUAGAAUAUGUAGUGUAGCGGUGAAAUGCAUAGAUAUUACAUGGAAUACCAAUUGCGAAGGCAGGUUACUAAGAAUUAAUUGACGCUGAUGGACGAAAGCGUGGGUAGCGAACAGGAUUAGAUACCCUGGUAGUCCACGCCGUAAACGAUGGAUACUAGCUGUUUGGAUUUAGGUCUGAGUGGUUAAGCGAAAGUGAUAAGUAUCCCACCUGGGGAGUACGUUCGCAAGAAUGAAACUCAAAGGAAUUGACGGGGGCCCGCACAAGCGGUGGAGCAUGUGGUUUAAUUCGAUGAUACGCGAGGAACCUUACCAGGGCUUAAAUGUGUUUUGCCGUAUGCCGAAAGGUGUAUUUCUUCGGACAAAAUACAAGGUGCUGCAUGGUUGUCGUCAGCUCGUGCCGUGAGGUGUCAGGUUAAGUCCUAUAACGAGCGCAACCCCUGUUGUUAGUUGCCAGCACGUAAAGGUGGGAACUCUAGCAAGACUGCCGGUGUAAACCGCGAGGAAGGUGGGGAUGACGUCAAAUCAUCACGGCCCUUACGUCCUGGGCCACACACGUGCUACAAUGGGCGGUACAGAGAGCAGCUACCUAGUGAUAGGAUGCGAAUCUAUAAAACCGUUCUCAGUUCGGAUCGGAGUCUGCAACUCGACUCCGUGAAGCUGGAAUCGCUAGUAAUCGGAUAUCAGCCAUGAUCCGGUGAAUACGUUCCCGGGCCUUGUACACACCGC
Molecule: ribosomal RNA, 1360 nt
Filed under: uncultured bacterium
Lineage: Bacteria
Description: bacterial SSU rRNA
Rfam family: Bacterial small subunit ribosomal RNA
Source: RNAcentral